RNAcentral lists this long non-coding RNA (253 nucleotides) under Mytilus galloprovincialis (Mediterranean mussel). The record is from RNAcentral. Lineage: Eukaryota; Metazoa; Mollusca; Bivalvia; Mytilida; Mytilidae.
GGGGGGCUGUAAAAUACUGCUUUCCUGUGAUGCAUCAGCUUGUUAAGUUUGGUGAACUUAUGGUCUAGUUUGUUAGGACAACAGUUGUGCGCUCGAAAAAAAAAAUGCAGUUGCUAUUUUCAUCAACUAAGAUAAAUAUUGGGAUGCCCCUGACCACUAUUACAAUUUUUCAGUAAAAAAAGAAUGUUGACACACAUCAUAUGCUAUGAGAAUUCAAAGACGAUUCAAGUAGAUCAAAUAAAAAUUAACCGAG